UGUAAAUGGGGCAGUAUUGGGGGGCUAUUGAGCCCUAUGGUUAGGAUCCGUCAGUGGUCUCUGUUUCUUGAUCUGCAGAUGGCACAGAGGGUUAUACAAUAUCACCAAGAUGAAGGCCAAGCAACGGAUAUGAUAAUGAUUCAAUCAUAGCUACUUUCCUUGUUGAUAUGUGUGAAGUGCGUUGAAUCCAGAGACAAUGGUACUAUAUAGCUGGCAGGGUCU
Papaver somniferum (opium poppy) is the source of this 222-nucleotide long non-coding RNA. RefSeq lists it as uncharacterized. Lineage: Eukaryota; Viridiplantae; Streptophyta; Magnoliopsida; Ranunculales; Papaveraceae. The transcript is spliced from 3 exons. The record is from RefSeq and is a predicted model, not a curated record.